Molecule: ribosomal RNA, 253 nt
Filed under: uncultured bacterium
Lineage: Bacteria
Description: partial 16S ribosomal RNA
Rfam family: Bacterial small subunit ribosomal RNA
Source: RNAcentral
UACGGAGGGUGCGAGCGUUGUCCGGAAUCACUGGGCGUAAAGGGUGCGUAGGCGGUCGGGUAAGUCUGAUGUGAAAUCUCACAGCUUAACUGUGAAACUGCAUUGGAUACUAUCCGGCUCGAGGAAUGGAGGGGAGACUGGAAUACUUGGUGUAGCAGUGAAAUGCGUAGAUAUCAAGUGGAACACCAGUGGCGAAGGCGAGUCUCUGGACAUUUCCUGACGCUGAGGCACGAAAGCCAGGGGAGCAAACGGG